Molecule: ribosomal RNA, 464 nt
Filed under: Vreelandella stevensii
Lineage: Bacteria; Pseudomonadati; Pseudomonadota; Gammaproteobacteria; Oceanospirillales; Halomonadaceae
Description: partial 16S ribosomal RNA
Rfam family: Bacterial small subunit ribosomal RNA
Source: RNAcentral
CCUACGGGGGCAGCAGUGGGGAAUAUUGGACAAUGGGCGAAAGCCUGAUCCAGCCAUGCCGCGUGUGUGAAGAAGGCCUUCGGGUUGUAAAGCACUUUCAGUGGGGAAGAAAGCCUUGGGGCUAAUACCCUCGAGGAAGGACAUCACCCACAGAAGAAGCACCGGCUAACUCCGUGCCAGCAGCCGCGGUAAUACGGAGGGUGCGAGCGUUAACCGGAAUUACUGGGCGUAAAGCGCGCGUAGGCGGUCUGAUAAGCCGGUUGUGAAAGCCCCGGGCUCAACCUGGGAACGGCAUCCGGAACUGUCAGGCUAGAGUGCAGGAGAGGAAGGUAGAAUUCCCGGUGUAGCGGUGAAAUGCGUAGAGAUCGGGAGGAAUACCAGUGGCGAAGGCGGCCUUCUGGACUGACACUGACGCUGAGGUGCGAAAGCGUGGGUAGCAAACAGGAUUAGAUACCCCGGUAGUC